This 253-nucleotide long non-coding RNA is filed under the name Nicotiana benthamiana. RNAcentral describes it as "long non-coding RNA (NBEN_LNC001616)". The record is from RNAcentral. Lineage: Eukaryota; Viridiplantae; Streptophyta; Magnoliopsida; Solanales; Solanaceae.
UGCUAGACUCAUGAAAUCACAUUCUAAACCUUUCGGAGUCACUUAAGGUCGUUGCAUCUUCGAUUAACAUUAUGGACAUCAUACCAUCAAUAUGAACUUCACUAGGGUGCAAGGAUCAUACAUACUUUCUUAGAAUAGAUUUAUACGGAAAGAAAAACAUGGAAACCUUAGUUGCUAGGAGUAGAUAUGCUGUAAAAGAGCAUACCGUUUAUGUUUUUCUCAUCUUAGAUCAUGCCAAAGCAAAGAAAGAAAU